GAUGAUUAAGCCAAUUUGCUUCUAUUGAAUAUAUCAUGUGAAAGUCAAAAGGUGAACAAAAUAUUCAUGUGAACUAAUAAAAUGUUGUAGUAUCUCUGAUAUAGACUAGAGACGAUGCACAUUUUGCUCUAUCAAUAUCAAGUUUAGCAUUUGCGAACUAUACAGCUUAUAAUAAUUGUUGAGAGUAUCCUUCAUCACAUUAACCUGAAAAAUAUAACACAGCAAGUUAAAGUGAUGCAGAUAUUGUUAACUUAAGUAAAUGAAUCUGAUUUCCGAGUAUAAUUUGUUUUGAGUUGAUAAUUACUGCAAGAAUCAUGUCGCCAGCCAGCUCACCUAUUCGACUGAGGAAUCUACUCUACUCAACUAAGGGGUGUUUGUUUAGAGUUUAAUCGGUCAGUCAUUCAAUGCGUUUGUUUUGAAUAAAAAUCGUCACUAUAAUGUUUUUGGCUUAUAGUUUUUGGCUGAAUGACUAUUGAAUGAAGUAUUUUAUAUAUUUUUUUUUACAAUAUUAACUAUUAUAUUAAGUAAUAUUAAAUAAAUUUACAACAAUUUAAAUUUUUUCAGUGAGGUAAAAUAAUAAAAAUAAGUUAUUCAGAUAUUUCAGACAUGUCAAUUAUCAAACAACUUUUUUAUUUCGUAUUCAUUCGUUUAGCUCAUUCAGAUUACUUAAACAUUCACAACUAUUUCAUUCAAUUUUAUAAAACACCCCUAAACCUUCAAAUUCCAAGCUAGUUGGAGUUGGCUGAGUAGUAGUUUACUUAAAUAAAAGUAUGCAUUCUUAAGGUUGAACUUAUACAAUGUAUUUGGCAAAUAGUGCUAUCUCAUGAUUGUGGUAGGGAAGGUAAGUUUGUAUAUCGAUUUAUUUCAACUUUUUUUAACAAGUAUAGGUCUCAAUUUAUAAAUUAGACCUUUUUGCAUUACAGAAAACACCAUAGUUUUCACCCUUGACUACAAUUUUGCUCUUCUUGUAAAAUAUACGGCAGUUCUAGGGAAGGUUACAUACUUUUUAAAUCACUCAUUCUGCACCAGCCAUCCCCAACACCAAGUUUCGAGGGUCAUGGAUGUGUCAAUAUAAUUUUCUUUUUUAUAUAUAUAUAUAUACACGAACUUUACAGGCACUAAGAAGAGAAAUUAUUAACUGCUUACCCGAGUAAAUUAGAAUUAAGUUGACCCUUUUGAGAUGUGCUGUCCAUCCACCAAACUUUUGAAUCAGAAGUCCACGACAUAGUUUACAACACCACUUGAAUCUACUUUUUCAGUUCAACCUGAAGGAUGAAACAGCCUGAAAGGACCAAAAAGAGAUCAAGAAAUUAUAAAAGGACUCCAAAUCUGAACAGUUUCCAAAUUUCAAAUAGUUUCUUAAAUGAUUCACUUGGUCUGGGUUACAGUUCUCAAGGCUGAAUUACCAACAUACACUUGCUCUCUAACCGGCCAGAUCAACUUGUUGCGGUAAUAGCUCACAAAUGUUGAACUGCAAAUAAAUUAUGAUAGCCUUCUAACAGGCCAUCUUUCCUAAGGGUACCUUGGAUCCUAGCUCUCAAAAGAUCAAGAAUACUAGGAAGCCUAAAAUCAGAACAUACAAACUUGUUUGCAAAAUAAAAAAAGAAAUACAGGGUUCAUAUGUAUUCCCAACAUUUUGCAAUUUUUGGUGAAGGAGAUGGACAU
This 1665-nucleotide long non-coding RNA is filed under the name Panax ginseng (ginseng). RNAcentral's name for it is "long non-coding RNA (PGIN_LNC005991)". Lineage: Eukaryota; Viridiplantae; Streptophyta; Magnoliopsida; Apiales; Araliaceae. The record is from RNAcentral.